GCUCAGCCGAACGGUGAGGCCGAUGGCAGAACAGGUUAAUAUUCCUGUACUACCUGUAGGAGUGAUGUGGAGACGGAGGAGUGACAACGCCGCGGACUGACGGAAUAGUCCGUUAAAGGGUGUAGAUGUUGAUUAUCCCAGGCAAAUCCGGGAUAAGAGUCGAACCUGACAGUAUACCAAUUUCCUCGGAAAACGGUAAUAGUGCGUGUAAACAUACUCCCAAGAAAAUCCGCUAAACUUAAUCUUACAGGUACCCGUACCGUAAACGGACACACGUAGUCGGGUUGAAUAUACUCAGGCGCUUGAGUGAAUCACGGUUAAGGAACUAGGCAAAUUGACCCUGUAACUUCGGGAUAAAGGGUCCCUACCCGGUGACGGGAGGGCGCAGAGAAUAGGUCCAGGCAACUGUUUAACAAAAACACAGGGCUGUGCAAAAUUGAAAGAUCACGUAUACAGCCUGACACCUGCCCGGUGCUGGAAGGUUAAGAGGAGAUGUCAUCGCAAGAGAAGCAUUGAAUUGAAGCCCCAGUAAACGGCGGCCGUAACUAUAACGGUCCUAAGGUAGCGAAAUUCCUUGUCGGGUAAGUUCCGACCUGCACGAAUGGUGUAAUGAUCUGGACACUGUCUCAACCGUGAGCUCAGUGAAAUUGUAGUAUCGGUGAAGAUGCCGAUUACCCGCGAUGGGACGAAAAGACCCCGUGAACCUUUACUAUAGCUUAACAUUGAAUUUGGGUAAUUGAUGUGUAGGAUAGGCCGGAGACUUUGAAGCAGGUACGCCAGUAUUUGUGGAGUCGCUGUUGAAAUACGGCCCUUUGAUUAUUUGAGUUCUAACUCGUGGUACGAGGACACUGUUUGGUGGGUAGUUUGACUGGGGUGGUCGCCUCCAAAAUAGUAACGGAGGCUUCUAAAGGUGCCCUCAGGACGAUUGGUAACCGUCCGCAGAGUGUAAUGGCAUAAGGGCGCUUGACUGGGAGACUUACAAGUCGAUCAGGUAGGAAACUAGAGCAUAGUGAUCCGGUGUUUCCGUAUGGAA
This 1033-nucleotide ribosomal RNA is filed under the name human gut metagenome. RNAcentral's name for it is "bacterial LSU rRNA". It matches the Rfam family "Bacterial large subunit ribosomal RNA", at positions 1396 to 2438 of the family's 2925-position model. The record is from RNAcentral.